Long non-coding RNA from Dreissena polymorpha, 671 nucleotides. RefSeq lists it as uncharacterized. The record is from RefSeq and is a predicted model, not a curated record. NCBI's taxonomy places the organism in Eukaryota, Metazoa, Mollusca, Bivalvia, Myida, Dreissenidae. The transcript has 4 exons.
GUCCGCUUCUGAACCUGACGAACGGUUGGCUCGAUGGCAAUAUGAACACAAAUGGGUCGCAGAAGAAACGUAUCAACUGUAACCAACGACACGUGGAAGGGAACAAGGCAAAUGUUACAAUGUGUAUCAACGGAUAAUGGACGCCAAAACCUAAAUGCAUAGUCAAUGAUUGGCGUCUGUUUAUUGGCGUGCCUAAGAUCGGUGGCGACAUACUGGACUCUUGGACAAAUGGCACACAUUCAACAAAUCGGCUAGAUAAAUGCUUCGACGAGAAUGCGACUAGAUGCAUCCAGCAUUUUCGCGACCCGUUUGUCGAUAGAUGGAAUACUAUAGGAGUUCAAAAAGUGAACGUGUCGCUGCAUAAAAACGGGAAGUCAGCUGCCUUUGUGUUGUUCAAUGCGACAGGAACAACUGUGACUUCAUGGUUCGACAAGUCAAGGAUAAUUGACUCUUCGUGGAACCUCCACGCAUCAUCACAUAUGGAACUCUUUAGUAUGGAAGGGAGACAUCUAAGGCGCUUCUAUAUAGUCGAACGUGAAGGUAACUGCACAAAUCAUAAGAUAUUCAUGAUGGCGAUGGCAGAAAAAGGUCUAUACUUGUGACUACGCAAAAGUUGGUCCCUACCCACAAUACAUGUAUUCCACUCUCCCAGAUGGUGCCAUACCAGCCGA